This 436-nucleotide ribosomal RNA is filed under the name Hughleechia sp. AV226. Its description in RNAcentral is "SSU rRNA". It matches the Rfam family "Eukaryotic small subunit ribosomal RNA", at positions 22 to 440 of the family's 1831-position model. Lineage: Eukaryota; Metazoa; Arthropoda; Insecta; Coleoptera; Hydraenidae. The record is from RNAcentral.
AGUCAUAUGCUUGUCUCAAAGAUUAAGCCAUGCAUGUCUCAGUACAAGCCAAAUUAAGGUGAAACCGCGAAAGGCUCAUUAAAUCAGUUAUGGUUCCUUAGAUCGUACACACACUUACUUGGAUAACUGUGGUAAUUCUAGAGCUAAUACAUGCAAAUAGAACUCCAACCGGAGACGGAAGGAGCGCUUUUAUUAGAUCAAAACCUAUCGGCAACGGUUCGCCGUUGUCGUAUUAUUUGGUGAUUCUGAAUAACUUUUUGCUGAUCGCACGGUCUAGCACCGGCGACGCAUCUUUCAAAUGUCUGCCUUAUCAACUGUCGAUGGUAGGUUCUGCGCCUACCAUGGUUGUAACGGGUAACGGGGAAUCAGGGUUCGAUUCCGGAGAGGGAGCCUGAGAAACGGCUACCACAUCCAAGGAAGGCAGCAGGCGCGCAAA